CNGUCGCGNAACCNUUCUUUAGUAUUCCCGCCCUGGGGAGUACGCUCCCCAAGAGUGAAACUCNNAAGGAAUUGGACGGGGACCCCNCCACAAACCGGUGGANCCAUGUGNUUUAANUCGNACGNCAACGNGGAGAACGCUUACCUGGACUAGAAUGUGAGGGGAAUGNUCGGGUNAAUGCCCGGCAGUNCCGGGAUNACCGGACCCANAAANCAAGGUGNNGCCAUGGCUGUCGUCAGCUCGUGUCGUGAGAAUGUUGGGUUAAGUCCCGCAACGAGCGCNACCCUUAUCAACAGUUGCCAUCAUUAAGUUGGGAACUCUGNUGAGACUGCCGUUGAUAAAACGGAGGAAGGUGGGGAUGAUGUCAAGUCAUCAUGGCCUUUAUGUUCAGGGCUACACACGUGCUACAAUGGAUGGUACAAAACGUCGCAAUCUCGUAAGAGGGAGCUAAUCGCGAAAACCAUUCUCAGUUCGGAUUGAAGUCUGCAACUCGACUUCAUGAAGUUGGAAUCGCUAGUAAUCGCAAAUCAGCAUGUUGCGGUGAAUACGUUCCCGGGUCUUGUACACACCGCCCGUCACAUCACGAAAGUAGGUUGUACUAGAAGUAGCUGGGCCAACUCGCCAAGAGAGGCAGGUUACCACGGUAUGAUUUAUGAUUGGGGUGAAGUCGUAACCAAGGUACC
This 683-nucleotide ribosomal RNA is filed under the name uncultured bacterium. Its description in RNAcentral is "partial 16S ribosomal RNA". It matches the Rfam family "Bacterial small subunit ribosomal RNA", at positions 874 to 1500 of the family's 1533-position model. The record is from RNAcentral.